This 252-nucleotide ribosomal RNA is filed under the name uncultured bacterium. Its description in RNAcentral is "partial 16S ribosomal RNA". It matches the Rfam family "Bacterial small subunit ribosomal RNA", at positions 524 to 776 of the family's 1533-position model. The record is from RNAcentral.
UACGUAGGGUGCAAGCGUUGUCCGGAAUUAUUGGGCGUAAAGAGCUCGUAGGCGGUCUGUCGCGUCGGCUGUGAAAUCCCGAGGCUCAACCUCGGGUCUGCAGUCGAUACGGGCAAACUAGAGUAUUGCAGGGGAGACUGGAAUUCCGGUGUAGCGGUGAAAUGCGCAGAUAUCAGGAGGAACACCGGUGGCGAAGGCGGGUCUCUGGGCCGAUACUGACGCUGAGGAGCGAAAGCGUGGGGAGCGAACAGG